AGUGAACUUCGUUUGAAGUGGAAAUCCUUUUUUAUCUCGUUUUUUAACGAGAUAAAAAAGAUUGCAACGGAAAGCCUGACCGCGC
RNAcentral lists this small RNA (85 nucleotides) under Flavobacterium urumqiense. RNAcentral describes it as "Flavo-1 RNA". It matches the Rfam family "Flavo-1 RNA". Lineage: Bacteria; Pseudomonadati; Bacteroidota; Flavobacteriia; Flavobacteriales; Flavobacteriaceae. The record is from RNAcentral.